This 73-nucleotide transfer RNA is filed under the name Trichonephila inaurata madagascariensis. It matches the Rfam family "tRNA". From Rfam's summary of the family: Transfer RNA (tRNA) molecules are approximately 80 nucleotides in length. The record is from Rfam by way of RNAcentral. Lineage: Eukaryota; Metazoa; Arthropoda; Arachnida; Araneae; Nephilidae.
GUCCCUGUAGGGCAAUGGAUAGCGCGUUGAUCUUCUAAUCCAAAGGUCGUGGGUUCGAAUCCCAUCUGGGAUG